GUUCGGAUUUACUGGGCGUAAAGGGUGCGUAGGUGGCCAGGAAAGUUUGAUGUGAAAGCUCCGAGCUCAACUCGGAUAAUGCAUUGAAUACUACUUGGCUUGAGGAUCGGAGGGGAGACUGGAAUUCUCGGUGUAGCAGUGAAAUGCGUAGAUAUCGAGAGGAACACCAGUGGCGAAGGCGAGUCUCUGGACGAUUCCUGACACUGAGGCACGAAAGCUAGGGGAGCAAACAGGAUUAGAUACCCUGGUAGUCCACGCCGUAAACGAUGAGAACUAGCCGUUGGGGCCUUUAAGGCUUUGGUGGCGCAGCUAACGCGAUAAGUUCUCCGCCUGGGGAGUACGGCCGCAAGGUUAAAACUCAAAUGAAUUGACGGGGGCCCGCACAAGCGGUGGAGCAUGUUGUUUAAUUCGAUGCAACGCGAAGAACCUUACCACCCCUUGACAUACUCGGAACUUUCUAGAGAUAGAUUGGUGCCUUCGGGAACCGAGAUACAGGUGCUGCAUGGCU
This 508-nucleotide ribosomal RNA is filed under the name uncultured bacterium. RNAcentral's name for it is "bacterial SSU rRNA". It matches the Rfam family "Bacterial small subunit ribosomal RNA", at positions 543 to 1050 of the family's 1533-position model. The record is from RNAcentral.